ACUCCUGGAGGCAGCAGUGGGGAAUCUUGCGCAAUGGACGAAAGUCUGACGCAGCCACGCCGCGUGAGUGAAGAAGGCCUUCGGGUUGUAAAGCUCUGUCGGGCGGGACGAACAGUUCUGAGGUGAAUAGCCUCAGGGCCUGACGGUACCGCUAGAGGAAGCACCGGCUAACUCCGUGCCAGCAGCCGCGGUAAU
RNAcentral lists this ribosomal RNA (195 nucleotides) under uncultured bacterium. Its description in RNAcentral is "partial 16S ribosomal RNA". It matches the Rfam family "Bacterial small subunit ribosomal RNA", at positions 335 to 524 of the family's 1533-position model. The record is from RNAcentral.